GAACGGAGCAAUCCGGUCC
Molecule: small nuclear RNA, 19 nt
Filed under: Arabidopsis thaliana (thale cress)
Lineage: Eukaryota; Viridiplantae; Streptophyta; Magnoliopsida; Brassicales; Brassicaceae
Description: snRNA_01218
Source: RNAcentral